Molecule: ribosomal RNA, 697 nt
Filed under: uncultured eukaryote
Lineage: Eukaryota
Description: eukaryotic LSU rRNA
Rfam family: 5.8S ribosomal RNA (bases 280-434)
Source: RNAcentral
UUCCGUAGGUGAACCUGCGGAAGGAUCAUUCGCACUAUCCAAACCAAUCAAUGUGAACCUCCCUUGUGAGCGACUGGGUGGAGAUGGUUGCAGCAGUGCACUUCCUCCAUGCGGAAGCUCGCGGGUGGCAGGGCAUCCUGGCAACACGUGUUGCAUUCCCUCGUGGGGUGUGGUGCGGCGGCCCAGGUUGUUCCUGUUGCCAUUGUGUCUGCUUUGGCUCAACUCUGUGCUUUCUUAACGAGUUUUAGCCUUUCUGUUCUGAUACAUAUUUUGUGUCACAACUUUCAGCGACGGAUAUCUCGGCUCAAGCACCGAUGAAGGGCGCAGCGAAGUGUGAUAAUCAUUGUGAAUUGCAGAAUUCCGUGAACCAAUGGAUUCUUGAACGUGCAUUGCACUCUCGGGAUAUCCCUGGGAGUAUGCCUGCUUCAGUGCUUGUGGGACCCUCAUGCAGGUGUGGUCUCACUAUCGUGAGUCCACUCACCUGCGUCUUUGUGUGCCAUGGCUGCGCUUUCGGGUGGAGUGAGUGGCACAUGCAGGAGUGUUCGAAGAGAGCUGCAGCUUCUGCAACUUGUGAGCUUGUGCUUCACUUUUGUUACAGAUUCUUGCGGCGCUCCAACCACACAUAGCAGCUCUCAGCAGCUUGUCCCAUGCACAGCAUGAAGUCAGGUCAGCAAACCCGCUGAAUUUAAGCAUAUCA